This 1440-nucleotide ribosomal RNA is filed under the name uncultured organism. Its description in RNAcentral is "partial small subunit ribosomal RNA". It matches the Rfam family "Bacterial small subunit ribosomal RNA". The record is from RNAcentral.
UGCUGGCGGCGUGCUUAACACAUGCAAGUCGAACGGAAAGGCCCUGCUUUUGUGGGGUGCUCGAGUGGCGAACGGGUGAGUAACACGUGAGUAACCUGCCCUUGACUUUGGGAUAACUUCAGGAAACUGGGGCUAAUACCGGAUAGGAGCUCCUGCUGCAUGGUGGGGGUUGGAAAGUUUCGGCGGUUGGGGAUGGACUCGCGGCUUAUCAGCUUGUUGGUGGGGUAGUGGCUUACCAAGGCUUUGACGGGUAGCCGGCCUGAGAGGGUGACCGGCCACAUUGGGACUGAGAUACGGCCCAGACUCCUACGGGAGGCAGCAGUGGGGAAUAUUGCACAAUGGGCGGAAGCCUGAUGCAGCAACGCCGCGUGCGGGAUGACGGCCUUCGGGUUGUAAACCGCUUUCGCCUGUGACGAAGCGUGAGUGACGGUAAUGGGUAAAGAAGCACCGGCUAACUACGUGCCAGCAGCCGCGGUGAUACGUAGGGUGCGAGCGUUGUCCGGAUUUAUUGGGCGUAAAGGGCUCGUAGGUGGUUGAUCGCGUCGGAAGUGUAAUCUUGGGGCUUAACCCUGAGCGUGCUUUCGAUACGGGUUGACUUGAGGAAGGUAGGGGAGAAUGGAAUUCCUGGUGGAGCGGUGGAAUGCGCAGAUAUCAGGAGGGACACCAGUGGCGAAGGCGGUUCUCUGGGCCUUUCCUGACGCUGAGGAGCGAAAGCGUGGGGAGCGAACAGGCUUAGAUACCCUGGUAGUCCACGCUGUAAACGGUGGGUACUAGGUGUGGGGUCCAUUCCACGGGUUCCGUGCCGUAGCUAACGCUUUAAGUACCCCGCCUGGGGAGUACGGCCGCAAGGCUAAAACUCAAAGGAAUUGACGGGGCCCCGCACAAGCGGCGGAGCAUGCGGAUUAAUUCGAUGCAACGCGUAGAACCUUACCUGGGUUUGACAUGGAUCGGGAGUGCUCAGAGAUGGGUGUGCCUCUUUUGGGGUCGGUUCACAGGUGGUGCAUGGCUGUCGUCAGCUCGUGUCGUGAGAUGUUGGGUUAAGUCCCGCAACGAGCGCAACCCUUGUUCACUGUUGCCAGCACGUUAUGGUGGGGACUCAGUGGAGACCGCCGGGGUCAACUCGGAGGAAGGUGGGGAUGACGUCAAGUCAUCAUGCCCCUUAUGUCCAGGGCUUCACGCAUGCUACAAUGGCUGGUACAGAGAGUGGCGAGCCUGUGAGGGUGAGCGAAUCUCGGAAAGCCGGUCUCAGUUCGGAUUGGGGUCUGCAACUCGACCUCAUGAAGUCGGAGUCGCUAGUAAUCGCAGAUCAGCAACGCUGCGGUGAAUACGUUCCCGGGGCUUGUACACACCGCCCGUCAAGUCAUGAAAGUUGGUAACACCCGAAGCCGGUGGCCUAACCGUUGUGGGGGAGCCGUCGAAGGUGGGACUGGUGAUUAGGAC